RNAcentral lists this ribosomal RNA (500 nucleotides) under uncultured bacterium. RNAcentral describes it as "partial 16S ribosomal RNA". It matches the Rfam family "Bacterial small subunit ribosomal RNA", at positions 30 to 523 of the family's 1533-position model. The record is from RNAcentral.
AUUGAACGCUGGCGGAAUGCUUUACACAUGCAAGUCGAACGGCAGCACGGACUUCGGUCUGGUGGCGAGUGGCGAACGGGUGAGUAAUGUAUCGGAACGUGCCCAGUCGUGGGGGAUAACGUAGUGAAAAUUACGCUAAUACCGCAUACGAUCUAUGGAUGAAAGCGGGGGAUCGCGAGACCUCGCGCGAUUGGAGCGGCCGAUAUCAGAUUAGGUAGUUGGUGGGGUAAAGGCCCACCAAGCCAACGAUCUGUAGCUGGUCUGAGAGGACGACCAGCCACACUGGAACUGAGACACGGUCCAGACUCCUACGGGAGGCAGCAGUGGGGAAUUUUGGACAAUGAGCGAAAGCCUGAUCCAGCCAUUCCGCGUGCAGGAUGAAGGCCCUCGGGUUGUAAACUGCUUUUGUACAGAACGAAAAGGUUUCUACUAAUACUAGGAGCUCAUGACGGUACUGUAAGAAUAAGCACCGGCUAACUACGUGCCAGCCGCCGCAGUAA